This 253-nucleotide ribosomal RNA is filed under the name uncultured bacterium. RNAcentral describes it as "partial 16S ribosomal RNA". It matches the Rfam family "Bacterial small subunit ribosomal RNA", at positions 524 to 776 of the family's 1533-position model. The record is from RNAcentral.
UACAGAGGUGGCAAGCGUUGUUCGGAAUUACUGGGCGUAAAGGGCGCGUAGGCGGCCUUCUAAGUCAGACGUGAAAUCCCCAGGCUUAACUUGGGAACUGCGUCUGAUACUGGGAGGCUUGAGUGCGGGAGAGGGAUGUGGAAUUCCAGGUGUAGCGGUGAAAUGCGUAGAUAUUGGGAGGAACACCAGUGGCGAAGGCGGCUCACUGGACCGGAACUGACGCUGAGGCGCGAAAGCGUGGGGAGCAAACAGG